CCUACGGUGUGCUGCAGUGGGGAAUAUUGGACAAUGGGGGGAACUCUGAUCCAGCGACGCCGCGUGAGUGAAGAAGCAUUUCGGUAUGUAACACUCUAUCAGCAGGGAAGAAAAUGACGGUACCUGACUAAGAAGCCCCGGCUAACUACGUACCAGCUUCCGCGGUAAUACGUAGGGUGCACGCGUGAUCCGGAUUUACUGGGUGUAAAGGGAGCGUAGACGGGGCAGAGAGUAUGAGAUGAAAGGUCGGGGCGCAACUCCGGGACUGCAUUGGAAACUGUUGAACUGGAGUCCAGGAGCGGUAAGCGGAAUUCAUAGUGUAGCGGUGAAAUGCGUAGAUAAUAGGAGGAACACCAGUGGCGAAGG
RNAcentral lists this ribosomal RNA (366 nucleotides) under uncultured bacterium. Its description in RNAcentral is "partial 16S ribosomal RNA". It matches the Rfam family "Bacterial small subunit ribosomal RNA", at positions 338 to 721 of the family's 1533-position model. The record is from RNAcentral.